GCUAGCAUGACCUAGUGGGUUGAGUGUUGGACUAGGACUCUGGAGACCAGGGUUCGAUUCCCAGCUCAGUCA
Phrynosoma platyrhinos (Desert horned lizard) is the source of this 72-nucleotide non-coding RNA. Lineage: Eukaryota; Metazoa; Chordata; Lepidosauria; Squamata; Phrynosomatidae. The record is from the annotation of a GenBank genome assembly.